UUCAUUCCGUACAUGCAACAUAUCAACAAGCAUGUAUUGUUUCCAAUCAAAAUCUCUUAUAAAAUUUUGCUAUUUUAAUCAAUACUGUAGUCCUUCGAAUUGAUAUGAAAAAGCAAUUUGUGUAUUUUACGUAAACUUCAAGUUCCUCAAAUUUUCGUUUGAUUUGGGGUGCUUCAUCCCUUCUCCAAUGAAGAAUACUAGAAAGAAGAAAGUUGGGAUUGAUGGUAUACUAAACAAUCAAAGUGAGUUGGUUUUGGAUAUAAUUUUUCAUGCGAACAUCCAUCACUGUUGAAGAAACCUAUUUUGAACAUGCAAAAUGAUAGUUUGUUGAAGAAAUCUGCUAUUCCUCAAAAAAGAGGAAUAACAAGAGGAAAAAUAUUUUAGUUUAGCAAGUUGCAAAUUUCGAUUUUGAUGAUGAAAUUCCUUCACACAAGCCU
Molecule: long non-coding RNA, 437 nt
Filed under: Capsicum annuum
Lineage: Eukaryota; Viridiplantae; Streptophyta; Magnoliopsida; Solanales; Solanaceae
Description: long non-coding RNA (CANN_LNC008098)
Source: RNAcentral